This 341-nucleotide unclassified non-coding RNA is filed under the name Hevea brasiliensis (rubber tree). Lineage: Eukaryota; Viridiplantae; Streptophyta; Magnoliopsida; Malpighiales; Euphorbiaceae. The record is from RNAcentral.
AAUGGAAUGGCAGAAAUGGCAAUGACUAUGUUUAGGCUUCCUGUAUUUUUUAAGCAGAGGGAUUUCUUGUUCUAUCCAGCAUGGGCUUUUGCAUUACCAAUUUGGGUGCUGAGGAUCCCAGUCUCCUUAAUGGAGUCAGGGAUAUGGAUAAUUCUCACAUAUUACACCAUUGGAUUUGCUCCUGCUGCCAGUAGGUUUUUCAAACAAUUCCUAGCAUUCUUUAGUGUGCAUCAGAUGGCUCUAUCACUCUUCCGUUUCAUUGCUUCAAUUGGAAGAACAGAAGUUGUGGCAAACACACUUGGUACCUUUACAUUGCUUGUGGUUUUUGUCCUUGGUGGAUU